Molecule: small RNA, 101 nt
Filed under: Marmota monax (woodchuck)
Lineage: Eukaryota; Metazoa; Chordata; Mammalia; Rodentia; Sciuridae
Source: RNAcentral
GCCAGGUAUGGUGGUGCAUGCCUGUAAUCCCAGAAACUCAGGAGGCUGAGGCAGGAGGAUUCAAGGCCAGCCUCAGUAAUUUAGAGAGAUCCCUGUCUCAA